AGUGAACGCUGGCGGCGUGCCUAAUACAUGCAAGUCGAACGGAGAUUAAAUAGCUUGCUAUUUAAUCUUAGUGGCGCACGGGUGAGUAAUAUAUAGUUAAUCUGCCCCAUAGUGGAGGACAACAGUUAGAAAUGACUGCUAAUACUCCAUACUCCUUCUUAUCAUAAGUUAAGUCGGGAAAGUUUUUCGCUAUGGGAUGAGACUAUAUCGUAUCAGCUAGUUGGUGAGGUAAUGGCUUACCAAGGCUAUGACGCGUAACUGGUCUGAGAGGAUGAUCAGUCACAUUGGAACUGAGACACGGUCCAAACUCCUACGGGAGGCAGCAGUAGGGAAUAUUGCGCAAUGGGGGAAACCCUGACGCAGCAACGCCGCGUGGAGGAUGACACUUUUCGGAGCGUAAACUCCUUUUGUUAGGGAAGAAUAAUGACGGUACCUAACGAAUAAGCACCGGCUAACUCCGUGCCAGCAGCCGCGGUAAUACGGAGGGUGCAAGCGUUACUCGGAAUCACUGGGCGUAAAGGACGCGUAGGCGGAUUAUCAAGUCUCUUGUGAAAUCUAGUGGCUUAACCACUAAACUGCUUGGGAAACUGAUAAUCUAGAGUAAGGGAGAGGCAGAUGGAAUUCUUGGUGUAGGGGUAAAAUCCGUAGAGAUCAAGAAGAAUACUUAUUGCGAAGGCGAUUUGCUAGAACUUAACUGACGCUAAUGCGUGAAAGCGUGGGGAGCAAACAGG
This 731-nucleotide ribosomal RNA is filed under the name uncultured Campylobacter sp. RNAcentral's name for it is "bacterial SSU rRNA". It matches the Rfam family "Bacterial small subunit ribosomal RNA", at positions 28 to 776 of the family's 1533-position model. Lineage: Bacteria; Pseudomonadati; Campylobacterota; Epsilonproteobacteria; Campylobacterales; Campylobacteraceae. The record is from RNAcentral.